This 1647-nucleotide small RNA is filed under the name Pongo abelii (Sumatran orangutan). RNAcentral's name for it is "retained intron". Lineage: Eukaryota; Metazoa; Chordata; Mammalia; Primates; Hominidae. The record is from RNAcentral.
GGUAAUCUGGAGCUUUCAAAAUGUUUGCCAAAGCAACAAGGAAUUUUCUUAGAGAAGUUGAUGCUGAUGGUGACCUGAUUGCAGUAUCAAAUCUGAAUGACUCUGAUAAGUUACAGCUUCUAAGUCUGGUGACAAAAAAGAAGAGAUUCUGGUGCUGGCAGAGACCCAAGUACCAGUUUUUAUCCCUCACCCUUGGCGAUGUACUCAUAGAAGAUCAAUUUCCGAGUCCAGUGGUUGUGGAGUCGGACUUUGUGAAAUACGAGGGCAAGUUUGCAAACCACGUGAGUGGAACCCUGGAGACUGCACUGGGGAAGGUCAAGCUGAACCUGGGGGGCAGCAGCCGCGUGGAGAGCCAGUCUUCGUUUGGAACCCUGAGGAAGCAGGAGGUGGAUUUGCAGCAGCUCAUCAGAGACUCUGCCGAGAGGUAAGGAGACUUUUGUUUGGCAUUUUGGAUUUUGACACAUCUCACAUUUAAAGGUCAUUCAGUUGGACCUUUGUUAAAAGGGCGACAGAUUUGAUCUCUGCUGAUCAAUAAACGUGUAUUGAAUGUGCUUGUGUUGAAAUUUCAUGAGGAGCACAUUCUUUAGUCUGGAAUUGCUUGACUGUUCCUAGCCUGAGGCGGGGAGACUUGGGAAGCACUUUCAAAGGAUGUUACUUCAGGCAAAUAUGUACUUCCUUCAAUCACAUGAUUUAUAAAAUGCCAACGGUGAAAAUGCUCAGUCCUGCAUUUUUGAAUAUUAAUUUUAGAAGCCAGGAAGUCAUGACCCCCCUCUGGCUCUGUAAUUUUCUGAUGAAAAAAAGAAGAAAGCAAGCGAGAGGCACGUAAAACAGUUCAAAAAUAAGAGCUCUUUUCAGUCUUUGAAGUCUUGAAGAAAACCCCACAUUUAUUCAUUGUUUGGCUUUUGGUAAAUACAUCUUACCACAGUAUAGCUCAUCAUUAUUCUUACCUUAUGUUUAUUCAACAUUCAAAAAAUAAUUGUAUCAAGUGCAUCCUAUGUGCCAUGUACUGUUCUACAUUCUGGGGAGGCUGCAGAGAGCAAAAUGCCCAAAUGUCUGCCUUGCAUUCUAGUGAGGAGAGAUACCAAAUGUACAACUAAAGUAACAUGUGCAGUAGGUUGAUGGGAAUCAGCAGCAGUGAGAGGGGCUAGGAUGUGCUAGGAAUGGGGGCUACGAACUUAGAAAGUAUGGCCAGAAGAAGGUGUCAUGGAGAAGCCGGCAUUAGGGCAAAGCUCUGCAGGAGGGGAGGGAAGGCACGGGGACAUCUGGGCAGGACGCUGUGGGCAGUGGCCAGGGUGGCCUGUGCCCAGUGAGCGAGGGGAGGGCAGGAAAGGAGAGUCGGAGGAGCUGAAAGGGGUGGGGCACCAAGUCCCACAGGACCUUGAAGCCCACUGGAAAGCCUCACACUUACUGAGAGCCAGUGGAGGGUUCUGGGCAGGGAAGGGGUGUAAUCUGAUGUAAUUUUUAGAAGGAUCAUUCUGGCUGCUGAGUUGAGAAGAGACUGGAUGGGCAGCAGCAGGGAGGUUCAGUUGAGAAGUGAUUGCAGUAAUUCAGCGGGGAUGGUAUUUCAGUUUGUACAGUAACGUGUGCAUUUUCCUGUGUAAUUUUAUUGCCCUUUAUUCUUUUAAAGCAAAAAUUCAAAUCCAAAUA